CGUGGGGGAGGAGGUUUGUGGAUUGUAAACCCCUUUUGAUUGGGAAGAAAUACUGACGGUACCAAUCGAAUAAGCAUCGGCUAACUCCGUGCCAGCAGCCGCGGUAAUACGGAGGAUGCAAGCGUUAUCCGGAAUUAUUGGGCGUAAAGCGUCCGUAGGUGGUUUAGUAAGUCUGCUGUUAAAGCGCGGGGCUUAACUCCGUAUCGGCAGUGGAAACUACUAGACUUGAGUGUGGUAGGGGUAGAGGGAAUUCCCAGUGUAGCGGUGAAAUGCGUAGAUAUUGGGAAGAACACCGGUGGCGAAAGCGCUCUACUGGGCCAUAACUGACACUGAUGGACGAAAGCUAGGGGAGCGAAAGGGAUUAGAUACCCACCGUAAAGGAUGGAAACUAGGUGUUGGCCGUAUCGCGCGGUCAGUGCCGUAGCUAACGCGUUAAGUUUCCCGCCUGGGGAGUACGCUCGCAAGAGUGAAACUCAAAGGAAUUGACGGGGCCCGCACAAGCGGUGGAGUAUGUGGUUUAA
RNAcentral lists this ribosomal RNA (521 nucleotides) under Jaaginema geminatum PJ S18. Its description in RNAcentral is "bacterial SSU rRNA". It matches the Rfam family "Bacterial small subunit ribosomal RNA", at positions 400 to 949 of the family's 1533-position model. Lineage: Bacteria; Bacillati; Cyanobacteriota; Cyanophyceae; Leptolyngbyales; Leptolyngbyaceae. The record is from RNAcentral.